CCGAGUAUAACAGUAGCACCCAUGUACAGGUUUUAUAGUGUUUUUGAAAGUUACAGGGUAAAAUAUAAGGCCACUUUUUCACAUAGAAAUUUGCCAGAUGGGUUUGUUGCCUUUGAGAACGUAUGGUAGCCCAGGAAUGAGAAUUACCCCCAUGACGGCAUACCAUUUGCAAAAGAAGACAACCCAAGGUAUUGCAAAUGGGGUUUG
Molecule: non-coding RNA, 207 nt
Organism: Pelobates cultripes (western spadefoot toad)
Lineage: Eukaryota; Metazoa; Chordata; Amphibia; Anura; Pelobatidae
Source: the annotation of a GenBank genome assembly